This 798-nucleotide long non-coding RNA is filed under the name Camarhynchus parvulus. Its description in RNAcentral is "lncRNA (ENSCPVG00000017268.1)". The record is from RNAcentral. Lineage: Eukaryota; Metazoa; Chordata; Aves; Passeriformes; Thraupidae.
GGGGUUUAGGGUGGGUUUUGUUGUUCCCUGUGUGUUUUGUGGGUUCCUGGGGGGGUCCCUGUGUGGUUUCCGGGGUUCCCGGGGGGUCUCACCCCCCCGUGUCCCCCUGCCCAGGCCCACUGGCGCUGCCCCGAGCUGGAGGCGCAGGUGGCGGCCAUGCUGGGGCUGGUCCGGGCCGUGCGGGGGCUGCGCGAGACCUUCCGGCUCGGGGGGGCCGCCCGCCCCCCAGUGCUGGUGCAAUGCCCGGAGCCGGCUCGUGAUUGGCUGGAGCCGCUCGGCCCCGCCUUCCAGACGCUCUCAAGGGCGGGGCCUGUGGAGCUCCUCCCCCCGGGGGCGGAGCCGGGGCCGGGCUGGGCGGGGGCUCCCGCGGGUUCCGGAACCUUCGUGCACCUGCGGAUCCAGGGCCUGGUGGACCCCGCCGCCGCCCGGGCCCAGCUCCGCUCCCGCCUGCGCAGCCUCAGGGGCGCCCAGCAGCACCAGGUUCGUUAGCGGAGCCUUAAUUAGCAGCGCUAAUUAGGCCAACGGGGGGGGGGGGCGCCUCCUUAGAGCUGCCCUCGUUAGCGCUCAUGAACGCUGAUUAAUGGUUAUUAAUGGGCAUUAAUGGGCAUUAAUGGGCAUUAACCCCUCCCUCCCCAGGCCCGAGAGGAGCUGGCGCGGCUGGAGCAGAGCCUGGAGGGGCUGGAGACCCCCAGAGACCCCCGGGAACCCCAAAGGGACCCCCAGGGACCCCCCCAGGGACCCCCAGCUCGGGGGGGGCCGGGGGGUUUUAAAUAAAUGAAUUAAAAAUUAUUUAUGAGC